This 74-nucleotide transfer RNA is filed under the name Alteromonas halophila. It matches the Rfam family "tRNA". Rfam says of the family: Transfer RNA (tRNA) molecules are approximately 80 nucleotides in length. Their secondary structure includes four short double-helical elements and three loops (D, anti-codon, and T loops). The record is from Rfam by way of RNAcentral. RNAcentral also lists the same sequence under 4 other names. Lineage: Bacteria; Pseudomonadati; Pseudomonadota; Gammaproteobacteria; Alteromonadales; Alteromonadaceae.
CGGUGAGUGGCGCAGUUUGGUAGCGCACUUGGUUUGGGUCCAAGGGGUCGCAGGUUCAAAUCCUGUCUCACCGA